Molecule: long non-coding RNA, 233 nt
Filed under: Nicotiana benthamiana
Lineage: Eukaryota; Viridiplantae; Streptophyta; Magnoliopsida; Solanales; Solanaceae
Description: long non-coding RNA (NBEN_LNC037356)
Source: RNAcentral
AUCUCUUAAGUACAACCGGUUAUGGCCCUCCUCCAGAUGCUAAUGGCUACACAGUCUCCCAAAUAUAAAUGGCUAUAGCCAUCCCCCCGAGCAUAAGCGGCUAUGGCCAAUCCCCAAAUGUAAAAAUGGUUACGGCCAUUCUCCAGGUGCGCAGAAGGCUACGACCAUCUCCUGAAAUGUAGGCGACUACAGACGUCGUCAAGGCACAAAAUGAUUACGAUCAUUCUCAAAUA